AUCAGCAGCACCUAGCACACUCCAGAUAGAAAGCACAAGUGCAAUCAGGGAAGAAAGAGCGUGUCAUGGAUUCCUUUCCGGUUAUCGACAUGGAGAAGCUUUUGGGAAGGGAGAGAGGAGCAGCCAUGGAGAUCCUCCGAGAUGCUUGCGAGAAAUGGGGCUUCUUUGAGAUUUUAAACCAUGGCAUCUCACAUUACCUCAUGGAUGAAGUGGAGAAGGUGAACAAAGAACAGUACAACAAAUGCAGGGAGCAAAAGUUCAACGAGUUCGCCAACAAAGCACUGGAAAACGCCGACUCAGAAAUCGAUCACCUCGACUGGGAAAGCACCUUUUUCCUGCGUCAUCUCCCCGUCUCCAACAUUUCUGAGAUCCCCGAUCUUGAUGACCAGUAUAGGAAGGCGAUGAAGGAAUUUGCUGCAGCGAUAGAGAAGCUGGCAGAGCGGCUGCUCGACUUGCUGGGUGAGAACCUGGAGCUGGAGAAGGGGUACCUGAAGAAAGCCUUCUCUAAUGGAUCCAAGGGGCCAACCUUUGGGACCAAGGUCAGCAGCUACCCGCCAUGCCCGCGCCCGGACCUGGUGAAGGGCCUGAGGGCGCACACCGACGCCGGAGGCAUCAUCUUGCUCUUCCAGGACGACCAGGUCAGCGGCCUGCAGUUCCUCAAGGACGGCGAGUGGCUGGACGUGCCCCCCAUGCGCCACGCCAUCGUCGUCAACCUCGGCGACCAGCUCGAGGUAAUCACCAAUGGCAAGUACAAGAGCGUGGUGCACCGCGUGGUGGCUCAGACUGAUGGCAACAGGAUGUCGAUUGCCUCCUUCUACAACCCCGGGAGCGACGCUGUGAUCUUCCCGGCCCCCGCUCUUGUGGAGAAGGAAGCAGAGGAGAAGAAGGAGGUCUAUCCGAGGUUCGUGUUCGAGGAUUACAUGAAGCUCUACGUCGGGCAUAAGUUCCAGGCCAAGGAGCCAAGAUUCGAAGCCAUGAAAGCCAUGGAAGCAGUUGCCACCCACCCAAUCGCUACCUCUUAAGUGACAGCCCCCAAGUUAGUGCAUGUCGCUGUACUUCGCGUUAGGAAGCUGUCGUGUAUGUCUAUGCAACCCGAUGGAAGCGUGCCUGCCGGAGGAGUCGAAGAACUACAAAACCCUAAACCUUGACUACUACUCCUCUUCCUUCCAGAAUCAUGGAUUCUUCUCCUCCCUCGCAUGCCAGAUCCGAUCAAGAUUCGCUACCGACCGCCUCCGCAGCUCCGGACCAGACGAUCGCGGACGGGGGAACAACGGUGGCGGCGGACGACGGAGGAGAGGAGAAGAAGGGAGAAGCGAAUGGAGGAAGCGAAGUAGAGGAGGAGUGCGGUUUCUGCCUCUUCAUGAAGGGCGGCGGGUGCAAGGAUGCCUUUGUCGCGUGGGAGAAAUGUAUGCAGGAAGCCGAGAAGCGCGACGAGGACAUCGUCGACAAAUGCUCCGAGGCCGCGGCCCUCCUCAAGAGGUGCAUGGACGCCCACCCCGACUAUUAUGAGCCCAUCCUCCGAGCCGAGCAAGCUCUGGCCGACUCUGCUGCUGCCGCGGCCGCCAAUGAUCGUGACUCGGAGGAUGAGAAGAAGAAAGGGAAGCAUUCGUGAAUCCCUAUGCCUCUUCUUAUUCUUUUUUACCUGAUGUCUUGGGUUUCCCCAUGUCUUCUGGUUUGACAAUGGAUUCUUGGAUGGAUGGAUCGAUGAGUUCCUUUUAACAUAGCUCUUCUUUUAGUUA
This is an RNA transcript of Musa acuminata AAA Group (dessert banana), 1739 nucleotides long. It is a transcript of the gene named 1-aminocyclopropane-1-carboxylate oxidase-like, with no coding region annotated. The transcript is spliced from 5 exons. Lineage: Eukaryota; Viridiplantae; Streptophyta; Magnoliopsida; Zingiberales; Musaceae. The record is from RefSeq and is a predicted model, not a curated record.